GGGGUUUCCCUUCUCCUUCUCUAAUCUGAAACACUUUCUUAGUCUCUCUAGUCUCUCAUCCUGAAUCUCUAUACACGUUCUCAGUCUUGUUACUAAUCUCUUAAACACUUAGACACACCAACACUCAUCAAACUUCCUUUCUCUCAAAUCGCUUCCAAGCUCUCUCUCUUUACCCAUUUGGGUUUCAUACACACAUACAAC
This 201-nucleotide long non-coding RNA is filed under the name Brassica rapa (field mustard). Its description in RNAcentral is "long non-coding RNA (BRAP_LNC008684)". The record is from RNAcentral. Lineage: Eukaryota; Viridiplantae; Streptophyta; Magnoliopsida; Brassicales; Brassicaceae.